GACGAACGCUGGCGGCGUGCUUAACACAUGCAAGUCGAACGGAAAGGCCCUGCUCUUGUGGGGUGCUCGAUUGGCGAACGGGUGAGUAACACGUGAGUAACCUGCCCUUGACUUUGGGAUAACUUCAGGAAACUGGGGCUAAUACCGGAUAGGAGCUCUUGCUGCACGGUGGGGGUUGGAAAGUUUCGGCGGUUGGGGAUGGACUCGCGGCUUAUCAGCUGGUUGGUGAGGUAGUGGCUUACAAAGGCUUUGAAGGGUAGCCGGCCUGGGAGGGUGACCGGCCACAUUGGGACUGCGAUACGGCCCAGACUCCUACGGGAGGCAGCAGUGGGGAAUAUUGCACAAUGGGCGGAAGCCUGAUGCAGCAACGCCGCGUGCGGGAUGACGGCCUUCGGGUUGUAAACCGCUUUCGCCUGUGCCGAAGCGUGAGUGACGGUAAUGGGUAAAGAAGCACCGGCUAACUACGUG
RNAcentral lists this ribosomal RNA (468 nucleotides) under uncultured bacterium. RNAcentral's name for it is "partial 16S ribosomal RNA". It matches the Rfam family "Bacterial small subunit ribosomal RNA", at positions 28 to 507 of the family's 1533-position model. The record is from RNAcentral.